RNAcentral lists this ribosomal RNA (642 nucleotides) under Histoplasma capsulatum var. capsulatum. Its description in RNAcentral is "eukaryotic LSU rRNA". It matches the Rfam family "Eukaryotic large subunit ribosomal RNA", at positions 1 to 651 of the family's 3401-position model. The record is from RNAcentral. Lineage: Eukaryota; Fungi; Ascomycota; Eurotiomycetes; Onygenales; Ajellomycetaceae.
AGGUUGACCUCGGAUCAGGUAGGGAUACCCGCUGAACUUAAGCAUAUCAAUAAGCGGAGGAAAAGAAACCAACAGGGAUUGCCUCAGUAACGGCGAGUGAAGCGGCAAGAGCUCAAAUUUGAAAUCCGGCCCCCCUGGGGGCCUGAGUUGUAAUUUGCAGAGGAUGCUUCGGGCGCGACCGCGGUCCAAGUCCCCUGGAACGGGGCGUCGUAGAGGGUGAGAAUCCCGUCUCCGGCCGGCCGGUCUCGCCCGUGUGAAGCUCCUUCGACGAGUCGAGUUGUUUGGGAAUGCAGCUCCAAAUGGGUGGUAAAUUUCAUCUAAAGCUAAAUACUGGUCGGAGACCGAUAGCGCACAAGUAGAGUGAUCGAAAGAUGAAAAGCACUUUGAAAAGAGAGUUAAACAGCAUGUGAAAUUGUUGAAAGGGAAGCGCUUGCGACCAGAGUCGGCCGCGGGGGUUCAGCGGGCAUUCGUUGCCCGUGCAAUCCCCCGCGGCCGGGCCAGCGUCGGUUUCGACGGCCGGUCAAAGGCCCCCGGAAUGUGUCGCCUCUCGGGGCGUCUUAUAGCCGGGGGUGCAAUGCGGCCAGUCGGGACCGAGGAACGCGCUCCGGCACGGACGCUGGCUUAAUGGUCGUCAGCGACCCG